UUUAUAUGUUCAACCAUUCCAACAAUCUCCACCUUGAUUGAAAAUAAUAUAUAAACUGACAAUCAUAUUCCACCGUAAAGAGUAUAGUCAUUUGAAACUAUAUCACUUCAAGAAUUUCCAUAAUAUCUUCACUAACAACCAUAGUUCAAAAACUAUCAUACUCCACCAUUAAGAAUAUAUUUCACUUGAAGUUAAACUAUUAGAGUUUCACCUAACGCAUCCUUACCAAACCGACUUGUAAGGUGGGGGGUGUCACUCUAUAUAAAUUCUUUCAAUGCUCUAUCUUCAACCAAUGUGGGACUUGGUGCGUAGAUUUAAACGGUGGGCGACCUAAAGUCCC
Molecule: long non-coding RNA, 340 nt
Filed under: Lathyrus oleraceus (garden pea)
Lineage: Eukaryota; Viridiplantae; Streptophyta; Magnoliopsida; Fabales; Fabaceae
Description: Pisum sativum (pea) long non-coding RNA (PSAT_LNC001135)
Source: RNAcentral